CGUUAAAGGAAUUGACGGGGCCGCACAAGCGGUGGAGCAUGUGUUAAUUCGACGCAACGCGAAGAACCUUACCAGGGCUUGACAUCCCCUGACCGCGUAUGAAAGUACGUUUUCACCCUCGGGUGACAGGGAGACAGGUGGUGCAUGGUUGUCGUCAGCUCGUGUCGUGAGAUGUUGGGUUAAGUCCCGCAACGAGCGCAACCCCUACGUUUAGUUGCUAACGCGUGAAGGCGAGCACUCUAGACGAGCUGCCGUUGACAAAACGGAGGAAGGUGGGAUGACGUCAAAUCAUCAUGCCCCUUAUGUUCUGGGCUACACACGUGCUACAAUGGCCGGUACAGACGGACGCAAAGCCGCGAGGUGGAGCAAAUCCUAAAAAGCCGGUCUCAGUUCGGAUUGCAGGCUGCAAUUCGCCUGCAUGAAGUCGGAAUCGCUAGUAAUCGCAGGUCAGCAUACUGCGGUGAAUACGUUCCCGGGCCUU
RNAcentral lists this ribosomal RNA (481 nucleotides) under uncultured Pelotomaculum sp. Its description in RNAcentral is "bacterial SSU rRNA". It matches the Rfam family "Bacterial small subunit ribosomal RNA", at positions 903 to 1382 of the family's 1533-position model. Lineage: Bacteria; Bacillati; Bacillota; Clostridia; Eubacteriales; Desulfotomaculaceae. The record is from RNAcentral.